RNAcentral lists this ribosomal RNA (450 nucleotides) under uncultured bacterium. RNAcentral's name for it is "partial 16S ribosomal RNA". It matches the Rfam family "Bacterial small subunit ribosomal RNA", at positions 354 to 796 of the family's 1533-position model. The record is from RNAcentral.
GUGGGGAAUUUUGGACAAUGGGGGCAACCCUGAUCCAGCCAUCCCGCGUGUGCGAUGAAGGCCUUCGGGUUGUAAAGCACUUUUGGCAGGGAAGAAAAGUUUCGGGCUAAUACCCUGGAGCGAUGACGGUACCUGCAGAAUAAGCACCGGCUAACUACGUGCCAGCAGCCGCGGUAAUACGUAGGGUGCAAGCGUUCAUCGGACUUACUGGGCGUAAAGCGUGCGCAGGCGGUUCGGAAAGAGAGAUGUGAACUCCCAGGGCUUAACCUUGGAACUGCAUUUUUAACUGACGAACUCGAGUAUGUCAGAGGGGGGUAGAAUGCCACGUGUAGCAGUGAAAUGCGUAGAGAUGUGGAGGAAUACCGAUGGCGAAGGCAGCCCCCUGGGCCUGCACUGACGCUCAUGCACGAAAGCGUGGGGAGCAAACAGGAUUAGAUACCCGGGUAGUCC